CGUCCCAGAAGAAUUCGUUCCUUCCGACAGGGCUUUACGACCCGAAGGCCUUCAUCACCCACGCGGCGUUGCUGCGUCAAGCUUUCGCCCAUUGCGCAAGAUUCCCCACUGCUGCCUCCCGUAGGAGUCUGGACCGUGUCUCAGUUCCAGUGUGGCUGAUCAUCCUCUCAGACCAGCUAACCAUCUUUGCCUUGGUAGGCCGUUACCCUACCAACUAGCUAAUGGUGCGCAGGCCCAUCUCUAAGUGAUAGCUUGCAAGCAGAGGCCACCUUUGAUCCCUGUUCCCGAAGGAACUGUGGUCUUAUCUGGUAUUAGCCCGUCUUUCGACAGGUUAUCCCGGUCUUAGAGGUAGGUUACCUACGUGUUACUCACCCGUGCGCCACUUUACUCAUCCCUUGCGGGACUUUCUCGUUCGACUUGCAUGUGUUAGGCACGCCGCCAGC
Molecule: ribosomal RNA, 443 nt
Filed under: uncultured delta proteobacterium
Lineage: Bacteria; Deltaproteobacteria
Description: partial 16S ribosomal RNA
Source: RNAcentral